RNAcentral lists this ribosomal RNA (381 nucleotides) under uncultured bacterium. RNAcentral describes it as "bacterial SSU rRNA". It matches the Rfam family "Bacterial small subunit ribosomal RNA", at positions 29 to 410 of the family's 1533-position model. The record is from RNAcentral.
ACGAACGCUGGCGGCGUGCUUAACACAUGCAAGUCGAGCGGUAAGGCCCUUUCGGGGUACGACGAGCGGCGAACGGGUGAGUAACACGUGGGUGACCUGCCCUCAGCUCUGGGAUAAGCCUGGGAAACCGGGUCUAAUAACCGGAUAUGACUCCAUGACGCAUGUUGUGGGGUGGAAAGCCUUGUGCGGCUGAGGAUGGGCCCGCGGCCUAUCAGCUUGUUGGUGGGGUGAUGGCCUACCAAGGCGACGACGGGUAGCCGGCCUGAGAGGGCGACCGGCCACACUGGGACUGAGACACGGCCCAGACUUCCACGGGAGGCAGCAGUGGGGAAUCUUGCGCAAUGGGCGAAAGCCUGACGCAGCGACGCCGCGUGAGGGAUG